CUGUGUGUUGUUGGGUAGGGGAGCGUUCUGUAAGCCUGCGAAGGUGGCCUGUGAGGGUUGCUGGAGGUAUCAGAAGUGCGAAUGCUGACAUAAGUAACGAUAAAGCGGGUGAAAAGCCCGCUCGCCGGAAGACCAAGGGUUCCUGUCCAACGUUAAUCGGGGCAGGGUGAGUCGACCCCUAAGGCGAGGCCGAAAGGCGUAGUCGAUGGGAAACGGGUUAAUAUUCCCGUACUUGGUGUUACUGCGAAGGGGGGACGGAGAAGGCUAUGUUGGCCGGGCGACGGUUGUCCCGGUUUAAGCGUGUAGGUGUGUGUUCCAGGUAAAUCCGGUUCACUUUAACACUGAGGCGUGACGACGAGGCACUACGGUGCUGAAGCAACAAAUGCCCUGCUUCCAGGAAAAGCCUCUAAGCAUCAGGUAACAUCAAAUCGUACCCCAAACCGACACAGGUGGUCAGGUAGAGAAUACCAAGGCGCUUGAGAGAACUCGGGUGAAGGAACUAGGCAAAAUGGUGCCGUAACUUCGGGAGAAGGCACGCUGACACGUAGGUGAAGUGAUUUACUCAUGGAGCUGAAGUCAGUCGAAGAUACCAGCUGGCUGCAACUGUUUAUUAAAAACACAGCACUGUGCAAACACGAAAGUGGACGUAUACGGUGUGACGCCUGCCCGGUGCCGGAAGGUUAAUUGAUGGGGUCAGCGCAAGCGAAGCUCCUGAUCGAAGCCCCGGUAAACGGCGGCCGUAACUAUAACGGUCCUAAGGUAGCGAAAUUCCUUGUCGGGUAAGUUCCGACCUGCACGAAUGGCGUAAUGAUGGCCAGGCUGUCUCCACCCGAGACUCAGUGAAAUUGAACUCGCUGUGAAGAUGCAGUGUACCCGCGGCAAGACGGAAAGACCCCGUGAACCUUUACUAUAGCUUGACACUGAACAUUGAGCCUUGAUGUGUAGGAUAGGUGGGAGGCUUUGAAGUGUGGACGCCAGUCUGCAUGGAGCCGACCUUGAAAUACCACCCUUUAAUGUUUGAUGUUCUAACGUGGACCCGUUACCCGGGUUGCGGACAGUGUCUGGUGGGUAGUUUGACUGGGGCGGUCUCCUCCUAAAGAGUAACGGAGGAGCACGAAGGUUGGCUAAUCCUGGUCGGACAUCAGGAGGUUAGUGCAAUGGCAUAAGCCAGCUUGACUGCGAGCGUGACGGCGCGAGCAGGUGCGAAAGCAGGUCAUAGUGAUCCGGUGGUUCUGAAUGGAAGGGCCAUCGCUCAACGGAUAAAAGGUACUCCGGGGAUAACAGGCUGAUACCGCCCAAGAGUUCAUAUCGACGGCGGUGUUUGGCACCUCGAUGUCGGCUCAUCACAUCCUGGGGCUGAAGUAGGUCCCAAGGGUAUGGCUGUUCGCCAUUUAAAGUGGUACGCGAGCUGGGUUUAGAACGUCGUGAGACAGUUCGGUCCCUAUCUGCCGUGGGCGCUGGAGAACUGAGGGGGGCUGCUCCUAGUACGAGAGGACCGGAGUGGACGCAUCACUGGUGUUCGGGUUGUCAUGCCAAUGGCACUGCCCGGUAGCUAAAUGCGGAAGAGAUAAGUGCUGAAAGCAUCUAAGCACGAAACUUGCCCCGAGAUGAGUUCUCCCUGAGACUUAAAGUCUCCUGAAGGAACGUUGAAGACGACGACGUUGAUAGGCCGGGUGUGUAAGCGCAGCGAUGCGUUGAGCUAACCGGUACUAAUGAACCGUGAGGCUUAACCUUACAACGCCGAAG
RNAcentral lists this ribosomal RNA (1746 nucleotides) under Salmonella enterica. RNAcentral describes it as "partial 23S ribosomal RNA". It matches the Rfam family "Bacterial large subunit ribosomal RNA", at positions 1214 to 2925 of the family's 2925-position model. Lineage: Bacteria; Pseudomonadati; Pseudomonadota; Gammaproteobacteria; Enterobacterales; Enterobacteriaceae. RNAcentral also lists the same sequence under 1 other name. The record is from RNAcentral.